CCUACGGGCGGCAGCAGUGAGGAAUAUUGGUCAAUGGGCGCGAGCCUGAACCAGCCAAGUAGCGUGAAGGAUGACUGCCCUACGGGUUGUAAACUUCUUUUAUAAAGGAAUAAAGUGAGGCACGUGUGCCUUUUUGUAUGUACUUUAUGAAUAAGGAUCGGCUAACUCCGUGCCAGCAGACGCGGUAAGACGGAGGAUCCGAGCGUUAUCCGGAUUUAUUGGGUUUAAAGGGAGCGUAGAUGGGUUGUUAAGUAAGUUGUGAAAGUUUGCGGCUCAACCGUAAAAUUGCAAUUGAUACUGGCAGUCUUGAGUACAGUUGAGGUAGGCGGAAUUCGUGGUGUAGCGGUGAAAUGCGUAGAUAUCACGAAGAACUCCGAUUGCGAAGGCAGCUUACUAAACUGCCACUGACAUUGAUGCUCGAAAGUGUGGGUAUCAAACAGGAUUAGAUACCCGGGUAGUC
Molecule: ribosomal RNA, 460 nt
Filed under: uncultured bacterium
Lineage: Bacteria
Description: partial 16S ribosomal RNA
Rfam family: Bacterial small subunit ribosomal RNA
Source: RNAcentral